GUGCCGACUUCCAUGGUUUUCAAGGGAUGUGAAAGGACUAAAGUAUUGUUGUUGUUGAUGGCUGAUUUAGAGGAGGCAGAGUCUUGGUCUUCAUCUUGAUUAUGAGAUUCUUGGCUGGUUGUGGGUUAGAAAGAUUAUUGCAAGUGGAGGUGUUGAGGCAUUAAAAGGGACAAAUUUUGACGGGUAAGAAGGGAUGAACCAUCUUUCAAUGGACAAGAAUCAUCUACACUCUCCAAAUUUAAAGAGAAAAGAGAGGUACAGUGAGUGGAAGGGAUGGCG
Molecule: unclassified non-coding RNA, 279 nt
Filed under: Hevea brasiliensis (rubber tree)
Lineage: Eukaryota; Viridiplantae; Streptophyta; Magnoliopsida; Malpighiales; Euphorbiaceae
Source: RNAcentral